GCCGGAGUGGCGGAACUGGUAGACGCAAGGGACUUAAAAUCCCUCGGGUUUAGGCCUGUGCCGGUUCGAGUCCGGCCUCCGGCA
This 84-nucleotide transfer RNA is filed under the name Candidatus Magnetominusculus dajiuhuensis. RNAcentral describes it as "tRNA-Leu". It matches the Rfam family "tRNA". From Rfam's summary of the family: Transfer RNA (tRNA) molecules are approximately 80 nucleotides in length. Their secondary structure includes four short double-helical elements and three loops (D, anti-codon, and T loops). The record is from RNAcentral. Lineage: Bacteria; Pseudomonadati; Nitrospirota; Nitrospiria; Nitrospirales; Nitrospiraceae.